GACACUAUGGCCGAGCGGGUAAGGCAAUGAAAGCACGUUUGAAUUUGGUUUCCGGUAUUUGCUUCGUCGAUGUAGGUUCGAGUCCUGCUGGUGUCA
Non-coding RNA from Coprinopsis sp. MPI-PUGE-AT-0042, 96 nucleotides. Lineage: Eukaryota; Fungi; Basidiomycota; Agaricomycetes; Agaricales; Psathyrellaceae. The record is from the annotation of a GenBank genome assembly.